This 331-nucleotide ribosomal RNA is filed under the name uncultured eukaryote. RNAcentral's name for it is "partial 18S ribosomal RNA". It matches the Rfam family "Eukaryotic small subunit ribosomal RNA", at positions 1470 to 1796 of the family's 1831-position model. The record is from RNAcentral.
CCCUUAGAUGUUCUGGGCCGCACGCGCGCUACACUGUUCGACGCAGCGAGUCUUAACCUUGACCGAAAGGUUUGGGUAAUCUUCAGCAAAGUCGAACGUGAUGGGGAUCGAUCAUUGCAAUUAUUGAUCGUGAACGAGGAAUUCCUAGCAAGUGCAAGUCAUCAGCUUGCGCUGAUUACGUCCCUGCCCUUUGUACACACCGCCCGUCGCUACUACCGAUUGAAUGGUUUAGUGAGAUCUCUGGAUUGACGCUGGCUAGGGGGCGACCCUUGGCCAGACUGUUGAGAAACUGCUCAAACUUGAUCAUUUAGAGGAAGUAAAAGUCGUAACA